AAGAGGAAAUCAAGGGUUAGGCAUUAAUCAUAUUUUUCCCUAAACUCUGAAUUCAAGUCAAAGACUCUACUUGGAUGUUAUUGAUCAAUAAAUAACUGUUUAUUAUUGUCUUGUCUGUUAGGUCCCUGUUUACUUUUGUGCCUGAUCAUUUCCAGGAUUACGUUAGUCAGAUUAUGAUGUUGGUCAACUCAGAGGGACCAAGAGAAACUCUUGUUGGUAUAUCUUCCCCCCUAUCCUGGACUGGACUGAUGCUGUGGUUGGAUAUUUAGAGGACAUUAUCAUCGACCAAGAGUUCUACGAGUCGCAGGGAAAUUCCAUGGACAAAUACUAUCAGGAAUUUGAAUACGGGAAUUAUAAAAUUGCUUAUGCUGCUUAUAUUUUAACAAAACAUAUUUACUUAGUAGAAAAGCAUAUGAAAGAACAGCUGCUGGAGCUUUCCUGGAUUUAACUUGGUGACUUUCACAUUACAGCCCACAAAGAUGAAAUGAUUGGUAACGUAUUUGACAGGCUGCUCCCGUUUAUGGAUUCUCUGUCUUUCAAAGAAAUGUUUCUGAACUACAAAGCAGAAAAGGGAGGUACAGGAAACAACCAGUGGGCUAGUGGCUACUUCAUGGUGAACAUUAUCUUUCUGUCAUCCAGAGCACUGCAACACUAGCUUUCACCUCCAGCCAAUGGGAUUGCUUUGGACACUACAGCCCAAUAGGUUGGGAGAAGAUUAGGCUAACAAUGACAGAAGAAUAGGUCUUAGGAAACCUGAAUUUGUUUGUGCCUGCUCAUUAAUGUUAAGUAUCAAUGAAUAAUAAAACAAAUCCAG
Long non-coding RNA from Herpailurus yagouaroundi (jaguarundi), 814 nucleotides. RefSeq lists it as uncharacterized. The record is from RefSeq and is a predicted model, not a curated record. Lineage: Eukaryota; Metazoa; Chordata; Mammalia; Carnivora; Felidae. The transcript is spliced from 2 exons.